GGGGGGGGGGGGGGGGGGGGCUGGGGGGGGCGGGGCGGGGGGAGUCUUCGGCGUUAGUGGCGGGCGGGUGAGUAACACGGGGGAACGUGCCGUUUGGUUCGGAAUAACUGAGGGGAACUUGUGCUAAUACCGAAUGUGCCCUUCGGGGGAACGAUUUAUCGCCAUUAGAGCGGCCCGCGUCUGAUUAGCUAGUUGGUGAGGUAACGGCUCACCAAGGCGACGAUCAGUAGCUGGUCUGAGAGGAUGACCAGCCACACUGGGACUGAGACACGGCCCAGACUCCUACGGGAGGCAGCAGUGGGGAAUCUUGCGCAAUGGGCGAAAGCCUGACGCAGCCAUGCCGCGUGAAUGAUGAAGGUCUUAGGAUUGUAAAAUUCUUUCACCGGGGACGAUAAUGACGGUACCCGGAGAAGAAGCCCCGGCUAACUUCGUG
RNAcentral lists this ribosomal RNA (433 nucleotides) under uncultured bacterium. Its description in RNAcentral is "partial 16S ribosomal RNA". It matches the Rfam family "Bacterial small subunit ribosomal RNA", at positions 38 to 507 of the family's 1533-position model. The record is from RNAcentral.